ACCGCGUGAUGCGCGGCCUGCUUCUCUUCUAAUCUCCGUUCUUAAGCCGAACGAACUUUUGGGGUGACUCCCGUGGUUCUUCAUUGAAGACCCUUCAUCUGCCUCGUUACCACUGUGACAAAGAAAGAAUGAGAACCCUCCUCCCAAGGGCUGAGACUGAGACGCCUACUACAGGCAGGAGGGGAAAUUGGUGGUCUGACCACUAAUGACAUGACCUGUUUCCCUUCAGUAAUUUUAAUGGACUCAUUCUUCAUUGGAUUCGUCUUGCUUUGGUGGUUUCUGUGGACUCACCUGUUCCUGCGUGGCGAUUACAAUGGACUUUCAUUGUUACACUUGUUCCCCCCUCUUUCCUCUGUGGACUAUAACUGGAUCCCUGAGUUAUAGUCCUGAGUUCGACCAGAACUUCGGAGACUCCCCCGACACGACAGACGGAUCCCCAUCGUCCGGACCACUGAGGAUCUCGCCUGUGUUGAAGAACUCCGAGGGACAUGAAGACCACCUAAUCCAUGAUCAAACUGGCUUGGACAACCUGGCUGCGACAGUGGAACCCUCCUAAAAAGCGGGUGCCAAGAGACAUAACUGGUGUUGUGGGAACAGAAUUGGGAAUCAGUUCAGAGGUAUUAAUGAAUAAAUUGGCUUCUACGACUAGAGAUUUGACCAAAAUACAGCAACCACUGCAGUCGUCCUUAUCGGCCUUGGGAACACAUCAGUGCUUGCUAUCAAACAUUCUACCAAAUUGGGAAAAGAUAAAUGUGAAGGAUAAAAAAUUGAUCAUUGAUGCACUUAAUGCCACGCAAAGCAAUGUUUCCUUAGCUCUUAGCUGUAUCCAGGCUCAAUUAUGGAUGCAGUCAGUUGCUGCCUCAAUUAUAAGAGAAGGUGAA
Molecule: long non-coding RNA, 881 nt
Organism: Vidua chalybeata
Lineage: Eukaryota; Metazoa; Chordata; Aves; Passeriformes; Viduidae
Exons: 3
Source: RefSeq, a predicted model, not a curated record